UGGGGUGUGUGGAAAAAGUUCCAUCUCGAUUAUUUGGUUUCAUAAAUUUCAAUUUCGCUUCAGGAGACGAAAUUAAGUUUCCCAGCCGGUCCCUGACCAUUUCCUGAUAUUUCGAAAUAGCAGAGAGUUUCUUUUUGGGGAAAAACAAAGCGAUUACUCUGGUAUGAAGAUUUCAGGCAGGCGCGAUUGGAAGAGGUCAGUCAUCAGCUAAGCUGAGGAUACUGGAAUGAAAUGGGAGCAGAUGGAGAAAGCUGUUCAGAACCGAGUUCAGUGGAGAGAUGUGGUUGCAGCCCUGUACUCCCUGAGGGGUUCACAGGAUUAAGUCAACAUCUCAAGAUGGGCACGUCUAGAAUUCCAACAGUGACAGCAUAAUUUAAAGGACACUCAAAUACUUUUGCCCCAAAAGAUGGUCAUCAAGGAAUGAUGUUCUAACAGCAAAUGAGAUUAAUUCAUUUUGAUGUCCUAAA
This is a long non-coding RNA of Biomphalaria glabrata, 467 nucleotides long. RefSeq lists it as uncharacterized. The transcript has 3 exons. NCBI's taxonomy places the organism in Eukaryota, Metazoa, Mollusca, Gastropoda, Planorbidae. The record is from RefSeq and is a predicted model, not a curated record.